Molecule: long non-coding RNA, 464 nt
Organism: Dendroctonus ponderosae (mountain pine beetle)
Lineage: Eukaryota; Metazoa; Arthropoda; Insecta; Coleoptera; Curculionidae
Exons: 2
Source: RefSeq, a predicted model, not a curated record
CAGUUCUAACGGAAUGGUAAGUGAUCAGGCACAGGAAGUGGUUUGGAACCCAUCAGUAACUAAGUGUAAACGAAACUGUUUGGUUGUAAAUUUACGCUCGAUAUCAGUGCCCAUUCUAAAGCAGAAGAGUUUUUUCGGCUAAAUUCCUUUCAUCGCCCAUGGAGAACUACAGAGGUCCAGCUUUCAGGCAACUAUCCCAAGCCUCCAACGAAUCAAUGGAAGAUCUCAAUAGCAUGGAGGACUGCUAUCAAAGCCCUGCUUGCCAAGUGUGGCGAUUUAUCGCCAUUCUUACCAUUUGCAUUUCCACACUGGGUCUGGUUUUCGCCUUCUGGACCAUGGCGCCCACUUUCCAGCAAUUGAAAGGACUGCUAAAAGCGCCAGUGAUCGAAUAGCAAAACGCUUCAGUCGUUUUGGAUUAGUGUAUUCAAUAUUGGUUAUAAAAAAUAAUACCACUGUUUAAACAA